RNAcentral lists this long non-coding RNA (1401 nucleotides) under Danio rerio (zebrafish). Its description in RNAcentral is "si:ch211-201p7.9 (ENSDARG00000096583.2)". Lineage: Eukaryota; Metazoa; Chordata; Actinopteri; Cypriniformes; Danionidae. The record is from RNAcentral.
UACAAAAAUAAUUACAUUGACUGGCAAAUAGUUAUGAAACUAUCCAUAAAUUUAGGCUUCGUCCUGUCAUGUACAACAUAUUUUAGAAACUACUUUCUCAGAGUACACUGUCUGUGCAUUUAGGUCAAAUAAAAUGCAUCCCACAUGUAAAUAUACUUAGAGAACAGUUUCAAAAGCACCAUGGUGCUCUUACAAAAUAGGCACAUUAACUCUGUAAGGAACGUUAGUGUUUGAAGGAAAGCAAAGAAAGUAACUCAGUGUCUGGACCAGAACCGACCUGAGGACUGUGACGCUGCCGCGGCGCACGGGCAGGUGCAGCACGGGCUCGGACACGCGGAUCGGCUUGAAGAGAAACUUGCAGCCGAAGCAGAGCGCGCUGUCGCUGAAGAAGGACACGGACACUAUUGGCCGCUCAAAGAUGUGGAUGGGAUCCACGUGGGACACGAUGCAGCCUCCGGGCUGGUAGUCAUUGAUCACAGCGCUAUUUACAAAACCCUCCGGGAUAACACCGUGCGUCACGAGGCGAUCGAUGACCAGCUCGUGCACCCAGUCCGGGAUAUCGUCCACCUCUCCUUUGGAGUACAGCCGCUCCUGCCCGGGUCCGCGCUUCUCCAGCUGCGCGCCGUACGUGUACCCCUCCCCGAAAAAGUACUUGUUUCGCAGGGGCGCCCGGUCCACCGUGUGCUCCCGGUACAGCCCCUUGUCUGCCUUGGCGACCACCUCGUCUAUCUUGGCCUCGAUGCGCGCGCACUCCUCCAGCGUGAAGAUACUCGCCUGUUUAAUGCCGCUCUUGACUCUGCGCGCCUCCGCGUCCCGCCGCUCCUCGUACUCGCUCUCGUCAUCAUCCGACUCGCGGUAUUUGCGCUUCUCGCCGUUGCUGUACUCGAAAACUUUGUCCCUGUGCGGUGUCAUCGACUUGAGCUUCUCUCGCAGAUCGGUAAAUCCGGCCAUUUUCAAGAGCAAAGUCCGAAAUAUUGCUGCAAAAUGUUGUUGAACCUGAAUUCGCCUCAGGUCCCCAUGUUAUAAUAUUAGUGUCGGUCACUGGAGUCGUGCGCGACGUGACCGAAGGCCCAGAGCGGUGCCGCCUGCUUCCUCUUCUCUCCUGGUACAAAUUUAAGCCAACUAAAGUUUCCACUGCCCCAUUCCAGGAGCAACCCGACUGAAUCAGCAACGCAACGCGCAUGGUGAUUUCACUGGGUGGCAGAGUGAGUCUCUUCUCUCGGACAGAAAGCAUAUUCUCGAUGUGCAUGGCGAUAACUCGACACAGCUCCAGACCCUGCCAAACAACAUAUGCAGUCAUAAAUCUCUCAUUCAUAUGUAAAGGAAUUCUGCAAGUCAUAUGAGGGGUAAAUUAAAGACUAUUUAAGAUCUUUUUAAUACCAACAAAAAAAAUGAGGAAAA